This 468-nucleotide ribosomal RNA is filed under the name uncultured bacterium. RNAcentral describes it as "partial 16S ribosomal RNA". It matches the Rfam family "Bacterial small subunit ribosomal RNA", at positions 28 to 507 of the family's 1533-position model. The record is from RNAcentral.
GACGAACGCUGGCGGCGUGCUUAACACAUGCAAGUCGAACGGAAAGGCCCUGCUUUUGUGGGGUGCUCGAGUGGCAAACGGGUGAGUAACACGUGAGUAACCUGCCCUUGACUUUGGGAUAACUUCAGGAAACUGGGGCUAAUACCGGAUAGGAGCUCCUGCUGCAUGGUGGGGGUUGGAAAGUUUCGGCGGUUGGGGAUGGACUCGCGGCUUAUCAGCUUGUUGGUGGGGUAGUGGCUUACCAAGGCUUUGACGGGUAGCCGGCCUGAGAGGGUGACCGGCCACAUUGGGACUGAGAUACGGCCCAGACUCCUACGGGAGGCAGCAGUGGGGAAUAUGGCACAAUGGGGGGAAGCCUGAUGCAGCAACGCCGCGUGCGGGAUGACGGCCUUCGGGUUGUAAACCGCUUUCGCCUGUGACGAAGCGUGAGUGACGGUAAUGGGUAAAGAAGCACCGGCUAACUACGUG